GCCUGGGUAGCUCAGUUGGUUAAGUGUCUGACUUCAGCUCAGGUCAUGUCUCACAGUUUGUGAGUUCAAGUCCCAUAUCAGGCU
This 84-nucleotide transfer RNA is filed under the name Felis catus (domestic cat). It matches the Rfam family "tRNA". From Rfam's summary of the family: Transfer RNA (tRNA) molecules are approximately 80 nucleotides in length. Their secondary structure includes four short double-helical elements and three loops (D, anti-codon, and T loops). Further hydrogen bonds mediate the characteristic L-shaped molecular structure. tRNAs have two regions of fundamental functional importance: the anti-codon, which is responsible for specific mRNA codon recognition, and the 3' end, to which the tRNAs corresponding amino acid is attached (by aminoacyl-tRNA synthetases). tRNAs cope with the degeneracy of the genetic code in two manners: having more than one tRNA (with a specific anti-codon) for a particular amino acid; and 'wobble' base-pairing, i.e. permitting non-standard base-pairing at the 3rd anti-codon position. Lineage: Eukaryota; Metazoa; Chordata; Mammalia; Carnivora; Felidae. The record is from Rfam by way of RNAcentral. RNAcentral also lists the same sequence under 4 other names.